This 163-nucleotide ribosomal RNA is filed under the name uncultured bacterium. Its description in RNAcentral is "partial 16S ribosomal RNA". It matches the Rfam family "Bacterial small subunit ribosomal RNA", at positions 393 to 539 of the family's 1533-position model. The record is from RNAcentral.
GACGCCGCGUGCGGGAGGAAGCCCUUCGGGGUGUAAACCGCUGUCAGGGGGGACGAACCGCCGGGAGUCGAACAGGCUUUCGGUCUGACGGUACCCCCAGAGGAAGCGCCGGCUAACUCCGUGCCAGCAACCGCGGUGACUGAGCGGGCUGGCAAGGCGCAUA